GUAAGGAAUAUUGGUCAAUGGGGGCAACCCUGAACCAGCCAUGCCGCGUGCAGGACGACUGCCCUAUGGGUUGUAAACUGCUUUUGCCAGGGAAUAAACCCGGUCACGAGUGGCCGGCUGAACGUACCUGGAGAAUAAGGAUCGGCUAACUCCGUGCCAGCAGCCGCGGUAAUACGGAGGAUCCGAGCGUUAUCCGGAUUUAUUGGGUUUAAAGGGUGCGUAGGCGGCACUUUAAGUCAGGGGUGAAAUACGGCAGCUCAACUGUCGCAGUGCCCUUGAUACUGAAGUGCUUGAAUGCGGUUGAAGACGGCGGAAUGAGACAAGUAGCGGUGAAAUGCAUAGAUAUGUCUCAGAACACCGAUUGCGAAGGCAGCUGUCUAAGCCGUUAUUGACGCUGAUGCACGAAAGCGUGGGGAUCGAACAGG
RNAcentral lists this ribosomal RNA (425 nucleotides) under uncultured bacterium. RNAcentral's name for it is "bacterial SSU rRNA". It matches the Rfam family "Bacterial small subunit ribosomal RNA", at positions 354 to 776 of the family's 1533-position model. The record is from RNAcentral.